RNAcentral lists this ribosomal RNA (484 nucleotides) under uncultured bacterium. Its description in RNAcentral is "partial 16S ribosomal RNA". It matches the Rfam family "Bacterial small subunit ribosomal RNA", at positions 30 to 507 of the family's 1533-position model. The record is from RNAcentral.
AUUGAACGCUGGCGGCAGGCCUAACACAUGCCAGUCGAGCGGAAGAAGGGAGCUUGCUCCAGGAUACAGGGGAGGAGGGGUGAGUAGUGCCUGGGAACCUGCCUGGUAGUGGGGGAUAACGUCCGGAAAUGGGCGCUAGUACCGCAUACGUCCUGAGGGAGAAAGUGGGGGAUCUUCGGACCUCACGCUAUCAGAUGAGCCUAGGUCGGAUUAGCUAGUUGGUGGGGUAAAGGCCUACCAAGGCGACGAUCCGUAACUGGUCUGAGAGGAUGAUCAGUCACACUGGAACUGAGACACGGUCCAGACUCCGACGGGAGGCAGCAGUGGGGAAUAUUGGACAAUGGGCGGAAGCCUGCUCCAGCCAUGCCGCGUGUGUGAAGAAGGUCUUCGGGUUGUAAAGCACUUUUAGUGGGGAAGAAGGGCAGUAAGUUAAUACCUUGCUGUUUUGACGUUACCAACAGAAUAAGCACCGGCUAACUUCGUG